GUUUAGAUUUUCAAUAAAUUGAUCAAAAUACUCUUAAUUCUCUUUCUCUCUUCUUUUUUUUUUCGUUCGUUUUUCUUCUCCAUCUUCGUCUCUCUUCUUCUCGUCGUCUCUUCCCCUUGUUCUCCUCCAGCUUUCUUUCCCUCCUCUUCCACGUCCCUCACGGCGACGCCGCGCUCCUCUCUCCUACCUUUUCCACGCCUUCACCGACUGCGGCGGU
Molecule: long non-coding RNA, 217 nt
Filed under: Ananas comosus (pineapple)
Lineage: Eukaryota; Viridiplantae; Streptophyta; Magnoliopsida; Poales; Bromeliaceae
Description: long non-coding RNA (ACOM_LNC032655)
Source: RNAcentral